Molecule: ribosomal RNA, 330 nt
Filed under: uncultured eukaryote
Lineage: Eukaryota
Description: partial 18S ribosomal RNA
Rfam family: Eukaryotic small subunit ribosomal RNA
Source: RNAcentral
CCCUUAGAUGUCCUGGGCCGCACGCGCGCUACACUGAUGCAUGCAACGAGUUUAUAACCUUGGCCUGAAAGGUCUGGGUAAUCUUUUGAACGUGCAUCGUGAUAGGGAUAGAUUAUUGCAAUUGUUAAUCUUGAACGAGGAAUUCCUAGUAAACGCGAGUCAUCAGCUCGCAUUGAUUACGUCCCUGCCCUUUGUACACACCGCCCGUCGCUGCCCGGAACUGAGCCGUUUCGAGAAGACUGAGGAUUGCUGACUUGAGGCCUUCACGGGCUUCUAGUCGGUGAAAAUCAAUUUAAUCGCAGCGGCUUGAACCGGGCAAAAGUCGUAACA